GCUGGGCAUGGUGGUGCAUGCCUAUAAUCCCAGAGGUUCAGGAGGCUGAGACAGGAGGAUCACAAGUUCAAAGCCAGCCUCAGCAAUGGCGAGGUGCCAAGCAAUGCAGUGAGACCCUGUCUCUU
This 125-nucleotide small RNA is filed under the name Marmota monax (woodchuck). Lineage: Eukaryota; Metazoa; Chordata; Mammalia; Rodentia; Sciuridae. The record is from RNAcentral.